AACGAACGCUGGCGGCAGGCUUAACACAUGCAAGUCGAACGAUGUAGCAAUACAUAGUGGCGCACGGGUGAGUAACGCGUGGGAAUGUACCUUAUAGUGGGGAAUAACGUUGGGAAACUAACGCUAAUACCGCAUACGCCUUCGGGAAGAUUAUCGCUAUAAGAAUCAGCCCGCGUGAGAUUAGGUAGUUGGUGGGUAAGUGGCCUACCAAGCCUACGAUCUCUAGCUGGUCUGAGAGGAUGAUCAGCCACACUGGAACUGAGACACGGCCCAGACUCCUACGGGAGGCAGCAGUGGGGAAGUAUUGGACAAUGGGCGAAAGCCUGAUCCAGCAAUGCCACGUGAGUGAUGAAGGCCUUAGGGUUGUAAAG
RNAcentral lists this ribosomal RNA (371 nucleotides) under uncultured bacterium. RNAcentral describes it as "bacterial SSU rRNA". It matches the Rfam family "Bacterial small subunit ribosomal RNA", at positions 29 to 430 of the family's 1533-position model. The record is from RNAcentral.